GACGAACGCUGGCGGCGUGCUUAACACAUGCAAGUGGAGCGACGAACCGGGGCUUGCCCCGGGGCAGAGCCGCGAACGGGUGAGUAACACGUGGGUAACCCACCCCGAUGACCGGGACAACCCGAGGAAACUCGGGCUAAUACCGGAUGUGCUCCUUGACCUCGAGGUCAAGGCGUAAAGAUAGCUUCGGCCUUCGCAUCGGGACGGGCCCGCGGCCCAUUAGCUUGUGGUGGGGUAAAGGCCUACCAAGGCGACGAGUGGGUAGCUGGUCUGAGAGGACGAUCAGCCACACUGGGACUGAGACACGGCCCAGACUCCUACGGGAGGCAGGCAGUGGGGAAUCUUGCGCAAUGCGCGAAAGCGUGACGC
Molecule: ribosomal RNA, 369 nt
Filed under: uncultured bacterium
Lineage: Bacteria
Description: bacterial SSU rRNA
Rfam family: Bacterial small subunit ribosomal RNA
Source: RNAcentral